Molecule: ribosomal RNA, 309 nt
Filed under: uncultured Acidobacteriota bacterium
Lineage: Bacteria; Pseudomonadati; Acidobacteriota
Description: bacterial SSU rRNA
Rfam family: Bacterial small subunit ribosomal RNA
Source: RNAcentral
AAUCAACGCUGGCGGCGUGCCUAACACAUGCAAGUCGAACGAGAAAGUGGAGCAAUCCAUGAGUAAAGUGGCGCACGGGUGAGUAACACGUGACUAACCUACCUUUUAGUGGGGGAUAACCUAGGGAAACCUGGGCUAAUACCGCAUAAUACUUACGAGUCAAAGCAGCAAUGCGCUGAAAGAGGGGGUCGCGGUCGAUUAGUUAGUUGGCAGGGUAAUGGCCUACCAAGACUGUGAUCGAUAUCCGGCCUGAGAGGGCGCACGGACACACUGGAACUGAAACACGGUCCAGACUCCUACGGGAGGCAG